This 242-nucleotide long non-coding RNA is filed under the name Elaeis guineensis (African oil palm). RNAcentral describes it as "long non-coding RNA (EGUI_LNC019556)". Lineage: Eukaryota; Viridiplantae; Streptophyta; Magnoliopsida; Arecales; Arecaceae. The record is from RNAcentral.
CGAUCAAGCCCCACCCACCUCUUCUCCUUCCCACUGUUGUGGCCGCUUCUUUCCUACCUCCUCCUUCUCGAUCUUCGAUCAUCGAGCUGCGAAAAGGGAAAGAGAUUGGGGAAGUGAGCAGUGGAGAGACGAGCAAUGAUGGUGGGGAGGUGAUCGGUGGAGAGAUGGAUAGAGAAGGAGGAGAAAAGAAGCGGGGGAGACAUGGUGGCAUCAGGCAGUCAGCGACGGCAAUGUCGUGGGGG